RNAcentral lists this small RNA (913 nucleotides) under Pongo abelii (Sumatran orangutan). RNAcentral describes it as "retained intron". Lineage: Eukaryota; Metazoa; Chordata; Mammalia; Primates; Hominidae. The record is from RNAcentral.
UGGGCUACUACGAUGGCGAUGAGUUUCGAGUGGCCGUGGCAGUAUCGCUUCCCACCCUUCUUUACGUUACAACCGAAUGUGGACACUCGGCAGAAGCAGCUGGCCGCCUGGUGCUCGCUGGUCCUGUCCUUCUGCCGCCUGCACAAACAGUCCAGCAUGACGGUGAUGGAAGCUCAGGAGAGCCCGCUCUUCAACAACGUCAAGCUACAGCGAAAGCUUCCUGUGGAGUCGAUCCAGAUUGUAUUAGAGGAACUGAGGAAGAAAGGUGGGUUCAGUUCCCCAGAUUCCUUAUUUUUCUUCCUAGUUGGGUUUUCCUGAGGGCAAAUUAGGAUAAGUCUUUUUCCCUUUAAUAACUUUUUCUCUCUCCUGGCUUGAAGGCCAGAGUCUUCUGUAAAGUAGGCAGCCCAAUUCCCACGUCCUUUCUUCUUCUUUGUACACAAAAUUGAAAUCCCUGUCUGUGCCCUAAACCUGAAGAGAAGUGGAAGAAGGAUGAGUGCCUUGUAGAUAAUAAUAGUAAAAUAAAUAUUGAAUCUCUCUUUCUGAAAGCUGAGUGUCUUCCACUCUGUCCCACCUUGGUAUUUUUUUGCCUGUUUAUUUCUUUUUAGAUCAUGAUACUUUUUGGGGGGGGAAAGAGAUAAGGUCUCACUGUCACCCAGGCUGGAGUGCAGUGGCUCAGUCCUAUCUCACUGCAGCCUCGACUUCCCAGGCUCAGGUGAUCCUCCCAUCUCAGCCUCCUGAGUAGUUGAGACCACAGGCAUGUGUCACUACACACCUGGCUAAUUUUUUGUAUUUUCUGUAGAGAGAAUUUUUGGUAUUUUCUGUAGGGUCUCGUCAUGUUGCCCAGGCUAGUUUCGAACUCCUGGGCUCAAGUGAUCCUCUCGCCUUGGCCUCCCAAAGUGUAAGCCACUGCGCC